RNAcentral lists this long non-coding RNA (1188 nucleotides) under Homo sapiens (human). RNAcentral's name for it is "KAZN antisense RNA 1". The record is from RNAcentral. Lineage: Eukaryota; Metazoa; Chordata; Mammalia; Primates; Hominidae.
GGCAAUCCCCUAAUGUUCCCUUCCACCUUGUGGAAGUUUUGUUCUUUCGCUCUUUGCAAUAAAUCCCAUUGUUGCUCGCUCUUUGGGGUCUCACUGUCUGUGCGAGCUGUAAUACUCGCCGCAAAGGUGUCUGGCUUCACUUCCGAGACCAGCGAGACCCCGAACCCACCGGGAGGAAUGAACAACUCCGGAUGGGAGGGACAAACAACACCAGACGCACCGCCUUAAGAGUCCUAACGCUCACCGCGGAGGUCUGCGGCUUCACUCUUGAAUGAAGCCAGCGAGAUCACAAACCCACCAGAAGGAAGGAACUCUGAACACAUCCGAAAAUCAGAAGGAACAAACUCCGGACACACUACCUUUAAGAACUGUAACACUCAAAUCGCGAGGGUCCACGGCUUCGUUCUUGAAGUCAGUGAGACCAAGAACCCACAAAUUCCGGACACUUCCCCACACAGAGGGAACUGGCCUAACACUCUGGUGGUGCCAAUAGGAUGUACUGACAGAUCAGAAGUGGUCGUGAGAGAAGGAGCAAGUAGCCAGAAGAGUGAAGUGUGCACUGGCUGAGAUGUGGGAGCAGGUGUUGUUGGUUUCCCCGGAGUCUUAUGUAUCAACAAAAUCACACCAGACCACCCAAAGCUGGCCCUGCCAACUGACCACACACACCCCUGCCUGAAAGGCAUGUUUCAAUGUGCAACAGACGCCUGCCACUCAGGGGACAUCAAAUGUUCAUGAGAACUCGCUAACCUCGAAACAGGUUCUACAAAUUCAAAAAAACCACCCGUGGCCUGGCUCUGGGCUGAAGCUGAGUCCUGGCUUGAAAUCCCCUGCCUUAAUCUCUCUUCGAAGACUUUUCUGCAUUCAUCUGAGUCCUCAUCCUCCAAGGCAGGGCUCAGGCUUGGGCUCAGGCUCCCAGCCAUGUAUCCCUCCUGGACCAUUCCUGACUCCUUUCCAGUAUCCUUAUCACUUGUACCACAUACGUUGGCCUUUGAUCCUGUGUACUGUUGGAUUUGUCUUUACUUCACAGGUUCAUCUUGUCUCCCCAAGAACAAUGAGAGUUGCCUCAAGGGGUAGAACCAUGCUUUUUGUUUUCUUUUGAAUUCAUUACAGCACAGCCAAAAGCUCAACACACAAAACACACUCAGUAAAUAUCUGUUGAACAGAAUAAAAGCCAUUCCGCAUAACCAA